RNAcentral lists this long non-coding RNA (1801 nucleotides) under Marmota monax (woodchuck). Lineage: Eukaryota; Metazoa; Chordata; Mammalia; Rodentia; Sciuridae. The record is from RNAcentral.
GUCGUCCUCUUCUACAGAGUGCAUUGCUUUAGGAGGGACACACAUGAGUGGUGAGGGAGGAAGGGGACACCUGCCUUCCCAACCAGAUCAGCCAAACCAACCCUGGUGAUCAGUGGGGUGACAGGUGUUGUAGCCAGAUUGCCCUCACAUCCCUCCUGUCAUUUCUAAAUUUCCUAUAUCACCCUCCAUCAGAAAUGCAUACAGAGGUAGGCAACCUCAAAUAGUUUUAGUGAUCACAUGUUGGUAUGUACCUGGGAUCAAGAGGGAACUACACAAAAGACAUUACCUAAGUCUACUAUCGGAUAUCCAAUACUGCACUUUGAGUACCACUGAACUGAAGGAAGAAACCAGACAAUAGUUAAAUAGACAAAACUGGUUUUGGAGAGUCAUAUAGUGUUGGGGAAAUUAAUCCAGCAAAAGGACCUUGUGUACCAAUGAAUACGAUAAGAAUAGGUAAUGGGCCCCAAUUAAGGUUUUUUCCUUCACAUGUAAAGGCCACUCUAUGAAAAUAAUCAGAAACAUUCCAAACAUUCUAGCCAAGCCUUUGUUUGAGCUUUGGGAAAAUAGAAGUAGGGGCUGACCUGAAUGGAGGUUACAGGAAAGUUCAAACCCAAGGGCUAUAAAGAUUCAAUUAAUUAGAAGGUCACAGUCUGAACCAAUAGCAUUGAUACUUUUCAAGUAACUGUUUAGCACAGAUGGUGACAAAGUACUAACUUCGGUACUUUCCUAAGACCUGAUUAGCAUGGAUAUUGAUCAAAGCCCCUACUCAGGACCUAUAUAAACCCAUAGACUACUACACUGAGGGGAACCCCUACUGCAUCUCCUCUCAAGCUGUGGAAAUUCUAUCUCUUUUCUUCUCACUUAAAUAAAUCUUACUCUAUUGGGAGCCGUGUGUGAACUACAUGUGAACUAUUGCAAUGUUCAAGCCAUUAAGGCAGAGAAGCUGCUCUUCUGGGAACUCCUGGGUGAAAUUCCCUGUUGCAGAAAGCCCAGAUCAUGCUGACACCCUGACCUAGUUCACAGCUCCACGUUCAAACACAGCUGCUGGAGGUGUGUGUGACCUGCCAAGCACAAACAACCUGUUUAUCUCCACUCUCAUCCUGUUACCCCUGAAGAAGAUCCCUAUAGAUCCCCUUUGGUCUGUACCGCUAUAAAUAAAGCAAGCUCUGGCUUUUUCUUUGUUACAAGUCAGAUUUCUCUGGUCACUCAACCUGUCACUCCCCUGCCUAAAAAAUAUAGAAUUCUUGCCUUUUGUCUUUAUUUCUUGAUAUGUUACUUUCAUAUCUUAUUUUGUAGCCAGCCCAUCCUUCAGAUGGUUACAUCCCUGGCCCACUCGGGAUGAAGUGAAAGGAGAUUACUUCUUUCACUCUUGACUUCUGUUUUUUUGUCUGUGGAUUUCCUUUUUGGAAUUUGCAAGAACCUGGAAAGAAAUUGGCAGUGAGCUGCUAGGGUCUGCCAUUAAGUACUGCAACAUGCUGCUGGGUAGUAGCAGAGAAGAAUAGAGAAGAACCAGCUUUGCUGGUUGCAACCCUUGAUCCUCAGAGUUUAUGCCAGCAAGCCUCCCUUGCUGUGAUUAGCUGCUAAUGCCAAAACAGGUUUUCUUGGCUACAGAGGUCUGCAGUUUAUUCAGACCCCACCUGCCGGCAGAAGCAGAGAAUCAAGUUUCAUCUCAAACUUGGGUUUCACCAAUAUAGAAGAGAGAGAACAUAAUUUAAGUUAGGUAAGCAUUAUUAGGUAACAGAAAUGUGAUGACAAAGUCUGAAAUUUUCAUACAAAUUUAUAAAGAAAAAUUGGAAACAAC